UACGUAGGGUGCGAGCGUUGUCCGGAAUUAUUGGGCGUAAAGAGCUUGUAGGCGGUCUGUCGCGUCUGCUGUGAAAAUCCGGGGCUCAACCCCGGACUUGCAGUGGGUACGGGCAGACUAGAGUGUGGUAGGGGAGACUGGAAUUCCUGGUGUAGCGGUGAAAUGCGCAGAUAUCAGGAGGAACACCGAUGGCGAAGGCAGGUCUCUGGGCCACUACUGACGCUGAGAGGCGAAAGCAUGGGGAGCGAACAGG
RNAcentral lists this ribosomal RNA (253 nucleotides) under uncultured bacterium. RNAcentral's name for it is "partial 16S ribosomal RNA". It matches the Rfam family "Bacterial small subunit ribosomal RNA", at positions 524 to 776 of the family's 1533-position model. The record is from RNAcentral.